UUGUGGGAAUGAAAGAACUGAAGAAGACCUAUCAUAAACCAGGAUCAUUCCAGAAGAACACCACACAGGUGCAUGUCUCUUCAGAGAAGAACACAUGAAGUAGGCAAGGUCACCACCGAAUGGCACUUAGGAACAUCAUGAAGCCAAGUGACCGGGAGCUGAAGAUUUCACAGUAACUUCUGACCAGCGUGUCUGAAUGUAACAGUGCUCUCCUUCCACCUACAAAGAAAAUACCAUGCCUGCAGAAGAUGGAGAGUGGGGUAGCAGAAGUACUGUCUGCCAUGCCUGGAGGGGGAUGAACUACUUUCAUACAGCCAGGAGGUAUGGGAGAACCUCCCACUCUACUCAGAAGACCAGCUCCAACUGAGAGAGGAUUGCCUGCUGCGCCUAUG
Molecule: long non-coding RNA, 392 nt
Organism: Dromaius novaehollandiae (emu)
Lineage: Eukaryota; Metazoa; Chordata; Aves; Casuariiformes; Dromaiidae
Exons: 4
Source: RefSeq, a predicted model, not a curated record